AUCCAGCUGACGAGUUGAAAAUAGAACGAAACGCGCUUCCUUGAU
RNAcentral lists this non-coding RNA (45 nucleotides) under Schistosoma margrebowiei. The record is from RNAcentral. Lineage: Eukaryota; Metazoa; Platyhelminthes; Trematoda; Strigeidida; Schistosomatidae.